This 465-nucleotide ribosomal RNA is filed under the name Vreelandella stevensii. Its description in RNAcentral is "partial 16S ribosomal RNA". It matches the Rfam family "Bacterial small subunit ribosomal RNA", at positions 338 to 795 of the family's 1533-position model. Lineage: Bacteria; Pseudomonadati; Pseudomonadota; Gammaproteobacteria; Oceanospirillales; Halomonadaceae. The record is from RNAcentral.
CCUACGGGGGGCUGCAGUGGGGAAUAUUGGACAAUGGGGGGAACCCUGAUCCAGCCAUGCCGCGUGUGUGAAGAAGGCCCUCGGGUUGUAAAGCACUUUCAGUGAGGAAGAACGCCUGGUGGUUAAUACCCAUCAGGAAAGACAUCACUCACAGAAGAAGCACCGGCUAACUCCGUGCCAGCAGCCGCGGUAAUACGGAGGGUGCGAGCGUUAAUCGGAAUUACUGGGCGUAAAGCGCGCGUAGGUGGCUUGAUAAGCCGGUUGUGAAAGCCCCGGGCUCAACCUGGGAACGGCAUCCGGAACUGUCAAGCUAGAGUGCAGGAGAGGAAGGUAGAAUUGCCGGCGUAGAGCUGAACUGCGUAGAGCUCGGGAGGAAUACCAGUGGCGAAGGCGGACUUCUGGACUGACAUUGACACUGAGGUGCGAAAGCGUGGGUAGCCAACAGGAUUAGAGAACAGUGUAGUC